This 253-nucleotide ribosomal RNA is filed under the name uncultured bacterium. RNAcentral describes it as "partial 16S ribosomal RNA". It matches the Rfam family "Bacterial small subunit ribosomal RNA", at positions 524 to 776 of the family's 1533-position model. The record is from RNAcentral.
GACGUAGGGCGCGAGCGUUGUCCGGAUUUACUGGGCGUAAAGCGCGUGUAGGCGGUUGCCCAAGUCGGGUGUGAAAGCCUUGAGCUCAACUCAAGAAAUGCACUCGGUACUGGGUGACUAGAGGACCGGAGAGGAUAGUGGAAUUCCCAGUGUAGUGGUGAAAUACGUAGAGAUUGGGAAGAACACCAGUGGCGAAGGCGGCUAUCUGGACGGUUUCUGACGCUAAGACGCGAAAGCGUGGGGAGCAAACAGG